Molecule: ribosomal RNA, 468 nt
Filed under: uncultured bacterium
Lineage: Bacteria
Description: partial 16S ribosomal RNA
Rfam family: Bacterial small subunit ribosomal RNA
Source: RNAcentral
GACGAACGCUGGCGGCGUGCUUAACACAUGCAAGUCGAACGGAAAGUCCCUGCUUUUGUGGGGUGCUCGAGUGGCGAACGGGUGAGUAACACGUGAGUAACCUGCCCUUGACUUUGGGAUAACUUCAUGAAACUGGGGCUAAUACCGGAUAGGAGCUCCUGCUGCUUGGUGGGGGUGGGAAAGUUUCGGCGGUUGGGGAUGUACUCGCGGCUCAUCAGCUUGUUGGUGGGGUAGUGGAUUACCAAGGCUUUGACGGGUAGCCGGCCUGAGAGGGUGACAGGCCACAUUGGGACUGAACUACGGCCCAGACUCCUACGGGAGGGAGGAGUGGGGAAUAUUGCACAAUGGGCGGAAGCAUGAUGCAGCAACGCAGCGUGCGGGAUGACGGCCUUCGCGUUGUAAACCGAUUUCGCCUGUGACGAAGCGUGAGUGACGGUAAUGGGUAAAGAAGCACCGGCUAACUACGUG